CCUACGGGUGGCUGCAGUGGGGAAUAUUGGACAAUGGGCGAAAGCCUGAUCCAGCCAUGCCGCGUGUGUGAAGAAGGCCUUCGGGUUGUAAAGCACUUUCAGUGGGGAAGAAAGCCUUGGGGCUAAUACCCUCGAGGAAGGACAUCACCCACAGAAGAAGCACCGGCUGAACUCCGUGCCAGCAGCCGCGGUAAUACGGAGGGUGCGAGCGUUAAUCGGAAUUACUGCGCGUAAAGCGCGCGUAGGCGGUCUGAUAAGCCGGUUGUGAAAGCCCCGGGCUCAACCUGGGAACGGCAUCCGGAACUGUCAGGCUAGAGUGCAGGAGAGGAAGGUAGAAUUCCCGGUGUAGCGGUGAAAUGCGUAGAGAUCGGGAGGAAUACCAGUGGCGAAGGCGGCCUUCUGGACUGACACUGACGCUGAGGUGCGAAAGCGUGGGUAGCAAACAGGAUUAGAUACCCCGGUAGUC
This 466-nucleotide ribosomal RNA is filed under the name Vreelandella stevensii. Its description in RNAcentral is "partial 16S ribosomal RNA". It matches the Rfam family "Bacterial small subunit ribosomal RNA", at positions 338 to 795 of the family's 1533-position model. Lineage: Bacteria; Pseudomonadati; Pseudomonadota; Gammaproteobacteria; Oceanospirillales; Halomonadaceae. The record is from RNAcentral.